UACAGAGGUCUCAAGCGUUGUUCGGAUUCAUUGGGCGUAAAGGGUGCGUAGGUGGUGAUGCAAGUCUGGUGUGAAAUCUCGGAGCUCAACUCCGAAAUUGCACCGGAUACUGCGUGACUCGAGGACUGUAGAGGAGAUCGGAAUCCACGGUGUAGCAGUGAAAUGCGUAGAUAUCGUGAGGAAGACCAGUUGCGAAGGCGGAUCUCUGGGCAGUUCCUGACACUGAGGCACGAAGGCCAGGGGAGCAAACGGG
RNAcentral lists this ribosomal RNA (253 nucleotides) under uncultured bacterium. Its description in RNAcentral is "partial 16S ribosomal RNA". It matches the Rfam family "Bacterial small subunit ribosomal RNA", at positions 524 to 776 of the family's 1533-position model. The record is from RNAcentral.